Molecule: ribosomal RNA, 643 nt
Filed under: uncultured bacterium
Lineage: Bacteria
Description: bacterial SSU rRNA
Rfam family: Bacterial small subunit ribosomal RNA
Source: RNAcentral
CGCGGCCUAUCAGCUUGUUGGUGGGGUAGUGGCUUACCAAGGCUUUGACGGGUAGCCGGCCUGAGAGGGUGACCGGCCACAUUGGGACUGAGAUACGGCCCAGACUCCUACGGGAGGCAGCAGUGGGGAAUAUUGCACAAUGGGCGGAAGCCUGAUGCAGCAACGCCGCGUGCGGGAUGACGGCCUUCGGGUUGUAAACCGCUUUCGCCUGUGACGAAGCGUGAGUGACGGUAAUGGGUAAAGAAGCACCGGCUAACUACGUGCCAGCAGCCGCGGUGAUACGUAGGGUGCGAGCGUUGUCCGGAUUUAUUGGGCGUAAAGGGCUCGUAGGUGGUUGAUCGCGUCGGAAGUGUAAUCUUGGGGCUUAACCCUGAGCGUGCUUUCGAUACGGGUUGACUUGAGGAAGGUAGGGGAGAAUGGAAUUCCUGGUGGAGCGGUGGAAUGCGCAGAUAUCAGGAGGAACACCAGUGGCGAAGGCGGUUCUCUGGGCAUUUCCUGACGCUGAGGAGCGAAAGCGUGGGGAGCGAACAGGCUUAGAUACCCUGGUAGUCCACGCUGUAAACGGUGGGUACUAGGUGUGGGGUCCAUUCCACGGGUUCCGUGCCGUAGCUAACGCUUUAAGUACCCCGCCUGGGGAGUACGG